CUGUGCUGUGUUUUUUCCUCCUACUCAGGGUGUGACCGGCAGGUGCUGCGGCGCAGCUGUUGCUCAUCAGCAAGCGUGGAAAUGUUUCUACCGGAGUUUCUGUGGGCUUAACGUCUCCUGCCGAGUUCAGAUGAAUGUGGAAAUUCAAGCCUCAAAAAACCUUGGCCGUAAGUCUCCUUUCUGCCUCCCUCCUGGAUUCAGGUCUUUGGAAAUAACUUCUUAUCAAGCUUCUGAGAACCCUCCACCUGCCUGUCCACCCUCCCACGAAUCAUCGUUUUCCCCAUGGGGCCCACGAAUGGAGUAAAGCACAAAGUCAGAAGAACGAGGAAGUACUUCUUCCUGCUGCUGCACCCUCCUGUCAAAGUCAACCAUCGUGGUAAAGACUUAUUCCUCCCUGACCUGGCUAAGGGCUUAUUUGCUGUAAGCUUGACCCUGACGGACUCGGUAUUAUUGAUCCACCUUUCCUCAAACGCUCUCUAAGACUCUUUUCUUUUUUUUUUUCUUCUUCUCCCUGAGUGAGAUCCCAAUCCUGUCCGCUGAUCCAGUCCGGAUUCCAGAACGAACUUACGUUUGUGAAUAAACUGUUUAAACUUUG
Girardinichthys multiradiatus is the source of this 595-nucleotide long non-coding RNA. RefSeq lists it as uncharacterized. The record is from RefSeq and is a predicted model, not a curated record. Lineage: Eukaryota; Metazoa; Chordata; Actinopteri; Cyprinodontiformes; Goodeidae. The transcript is spliced from 2 exons.